This 301-nucleotide ribosomal RNA is filed under the name uncultured bacterium. RNAcentral's name for it is "partial 16S ribosomal RNA". It matches the Rfam family "Bacterial small subunit ribosomal RNA", at positions 509 to 808 of the family's 1533-position model. The record is from RNAcentral.
CAGUCGCCGCGGGAAUACAGAGGAUGCAAGAGUUAUUCGGAAUGAUUGGCGUAAAGCGUCUGUAGGUGGCUUUUCAAGUCCGCCGUCAAAUCCCAGGGCUCAACCCUGGACAGGCGAUGGAAACUACCAAGCUGGAUUACGGUAGGGGCAGAGGGAAUGUCCGGUGGAGCGGUGUAAUGCGUUGAGAUCGGAAAGAACACCGACGACAAAAGCAUUCUGUUGGGCCGAAACUGACACUGAGAGACGAAAACUAGGGGAGCAAAUGGGAUUAGAUACCCCCGUAGUCCCUGUCUCUUAUACA